GAUGAACGCUGGCGGCGUGCCUAAUACAUGCAAGUCGAGCGAACAGACGAGGAGCUUGCUCCUCUGACGUUAGCGGCGGACGGGUGAGUAACACGUGGAUAACCUACCUAUAAGACUGGGAUAACUUCGGGAAACCGGAGCUAAUACCGGAUAAUAUAUUGAACCGCAUGGUUCAAUAGUGAAAGACGGCUUUGCUGUCACUUAUAGAUGGAUCUGCGCCGCAUUAGCUAGUUGGUAAGGUAACGGCUUACCAAGGCAACGAUGCGUAGCCGACCUGAGAGGGUGAUCGGCCACACUGGAACUGAGACACGGUCCAGACUCCUAAGGGAGGCAGCAGUAGGGAAUCGUCCGCAAUGGGCGAAAGCCUGACGGAGCAACGCCGCGUGAGUGAUGAAGGUCUUCGGAUCGUAAAACUCUGUUAUUAGGGAAGAACAAAUGUGCAAGUAACUGUGCACGUCUUGACGGUACCUAAUCAGAAAGCCACGGCUAACUACGUG
Molecule: ribosomal RNA, 497 nt
Filed under: uncultured bacterium
Lineage: Bacteria
Description: partial 16S ribosomal RNA
Rfam family: Bacterial small subunit ribosomal RNA
Source: RNAcentral